UACGUAGGGUGCGAGCGUUAAUCGGAAUUACUGGGCGUAAGCGUGCGCAGGCGGUUGGUUAAGUCUGAUGUGAAAGCCCCGAGCUCAACUUGGGAAUGGCAUUGGAAACUGGCUGGCUAGAGUGUGGCAGAGGGGGGUGGAAUUCCGCGUGUAGCAGUGAAAUGCGUAGAGAUGCGGAGGAACACCGAUGGCGAAGGCAGCCCCCUGGGCUGACACUGACGCUCCAGGCGACGCAAAGCGUG
Molecule: ribosomal RNA, 242 nt
Filed under: uncultured bacterium
Lineage: Bacteria
Description: partial 16S ribosomal RNA
Rfam family: Bacterial small subunit ribosomal RNA
Source: RNAcentral